UUGGUGGCUGGUAAUUUUCUCAAGCUUGGAGCUUGGUGUGGGGCUCAUGGGUUCGCAGUUGAUUGGAAUUUGGUUCAUAAUUGGAAGAGAGUGAUGCCACAUGCAUUUGAGUCUUUAAUGUUGUUGAGAGUCACAUUGCGUAUGGAUUAUAUAUUAUUGUGAAUUGGGUGAACUUGAAUACAUGUUUUGUGUUGUAUGGUGGAUUAUAUUCGAAUUGUAUUGUAUUUAA
RNAcentral lists this long non-coding RNA (229 nucleotides) under Lathyrus oleraceus (garden pea). Its description in RNAcentral is "Pisum sativum (pea) long non-coding RNA (PSAT_LNC014419)". The record is from RNAcentral. Lineage: Eukaryota; Viridiplantae; Streptophyta; Magnoliopsida; Fabales; Fabaceae.